CCUACGGGGGGCAGCAGUGAGGAAUAUUGGUCAAUGGCCGAGAGGCUGAACCAGCCAAGUCGCGUGAGGGAAGACGGCCCUACGGGUUGUAAACCUCUUUUGUCGGGGAGCAAAGAGAGUCACGUGUGACUCAUUGAGAGUACCCGAAGAAAAAGCAUCGGCUAACUCCGUGCCAGCAGCCGCGGUAAUACGGAGGAUGCGAGCGUUAUCCGGAUUUAUUGGGUUUAAAGGGUGCGCAGGCGGAGGUGCAAGUCAGCGGUAAAAUUGCGGGGCUCAACCCCGUACUGCCGUUGAAACUGCAUCCCUUGAGAACAGUAGAGGUGGGCGGAAUUCGUGGUGUAGCGGUGAAAUGCUUAGAUAUCACGAAGAACUCCGAUUGCGAAGGCAGUUCACUGGACUGCAACUGACACUGAGGCUCGAAAGUGUGGGUAUCAAACAGGAUUAGAUACCCGUGUAGUC
This 459-nucleotide ribosomal RNA is filed under the name uncultured bacterium. RNAcentral's name for it is "partial 16S ribosomal RNA". It matches the Rfam family "Bacterial small subunit ribosomal RNA", at positions 338 to 795 of the family's 1533-position model. The record is from RNAcentral.